This 30-nucleotide non-coding RNA is filed under the name Mus musculus (house mouse). Lineage: Eukaryota; Metazoa; Chordata; Mammalia; Rodentia; Muridae. The record is from RNAcentral.
UGGGCAUUUCAACGGUCAGUGUUCUAUGCA